UUAGCGGCGCUUUUAAGCGCCACUAAAACUAUUAGCGGCGUUUUUG
Non-coding RNA from Gossypium arboreum, 46 nucleotides. The record is from Rfam. NCBI's taxonomy places the organism in Eukaryota, Viridiplantae, Streptophyta, Magnoliopsida, Malvales, Malvaceae.